RNAcentral lists this non-coding RNA (23 nucleotides) under Arabidopsis thaliana (thale cress). The record is from RNAcentral. Lineage: Eukaryota; Viridiplantae; Streptophyta; Magnoliopsida; Brassicales; Brassicaceae.
CAAUAUGGUGGUCUCACUCUGGG